CCUACGGGUGGCUGCAGUGGGGAAUAUUGGACAAUGGGCGAAAGCCUGAUCCAGCCAUGCCGCGUGUGUGAAGAAGGCCUUCGGGUUGUAAAGCACUUUCAGUGGGGAAGAAAGCCUUGGGGCUAAUACCCUCGAGGAAGGACAUCACCCACAGAAGAAGCACCGGCUAACUCCGUGCCAGCAGCCGCGGUAAUACGGAGGGUGCGAGCGUUAAUCGGAAUUACUGGGCGUAAAGCGCGCGUAGGCGGUCUGAUAAGCCGGUUGUGAAAGCCCCGGGCUCAACCUGGGAACGGCAUCCGGAACUGUCAGGCUAGAGUGCAGGAGAGGAAGGUAGAAUUCCCGGUGUAGCGGUGAAAUGCGUAGAGAUCGGGAGGAAUACCAGUGGCGAAGGCGGCCUUCUGGACUGACACUGACGCUGAGGUGCGAAAGCGUGGGUAGCAAACAGGAUUAGAUACCCUUUGUAGUC
This 466-nucleotide ribosomal RNA is filed under the name Vreelandella stevensii. RNAcentral's name for it is "partial 16S ribosomal RNA". It matches the Rfam family "Bacterial small subunit ribosomal RNA", at positions 338 to 795 of the family's 1533-position model. The record is from RNAcentral. Lineage: Bacteria; Pseudomonadati; Pseudomonadota; Gammaproteobacteria; Oceanospirillales; Halomonadaceae.